This 623-nucleotide ribosomal RNA is filed under the name uncultured Actinomycetes bacterium. RNAcentral's name for it is "bacterial SSU rRNA". It matches the Rfam family "Bacterial small subunit ribosomal RNA", at positions 252 to 866 of the family's 1533-position model. Lineage: Bacteria; Bacillati; Actinomycetota; Actinomycetes. The record is from RNAcentral.
GUGAGGUAACGGCUCACCAAGGCGAUGACGGGUAGCUGGUCUGAGAGGAUGAUCAGCCACACGGGGACUGAGACACGGCCCCGACUCCUACGGGAGGCAGCAGUGGGGAAUUUUGGACAAUGGGCGAAAGCCUGAUCCAGCGACGCCGCGUGCGGGAGGAAGCCCUUCGGGGUGUAAACCGUUGUCAGGAGGGAAGAACAGGUUCGGGCGAAUAACCCGAACUGCUGACGGUACCUCCAGAGGAAGCGCCGGCUAACUCCGUGCCAGCAGCCGCGGUAAUACGGAGGGCGCAAGCGUUGUCCGGAAUUACUGGGCGUAAAGGGGGCGCAGGCGGCUUGGCAAGUCUUGUGUGAAAGGCCAUGGCUCAACCGUGGACAUGCACUAGAUACUACCGAGCUUGAGACGGGUAGAGGCGAGUGGAAUUCCCGGUGUAGCGGUGGAAUGCGUAGAUAUCGGGAAGAACACCAGUGGCGAAGGCGACUCGCUGGGCCCGUUCUGACGCUCAGGCCCGAAAGCGUGGGGAGCAAACAGGAUUAGAUACCCUGGUAGUCCACGCCGUAAACGAUGGGCACUAGGUGCUGGGAAGUGUGACCUUUUCGGUGCCGUAGCUAACGCGUUAAGUG